Molecule: transfer RNA, 60 nt
Filed under: Murina shuipuensis
Lineage: Eukaryota; Metazoa; Chordata; Mammalia; Chiroptera; Vespertilionidae
Description: tRNA-Ser
Source: RNAcentral
GAAAAAGUAGCAAGAACUGCUAACUCAUGCCUCCGUACCUAAUAAGUGACGGCUUUUUCA